GCCUUGGUAGUGUAAUGGAUUAGCACGGUAGACCGUUUAUCUGUAGGUGCAGGUCCGAGUACCGUCUAAGGCU
RNAcentral lists this transfer RNA (73 nucleotides) under Dictyocaulus viviparus (bovine lungworm). It matches the Rfam family "tRNA". From Rfam's summary of the family: Transfer RNA (tRNA) molecules are approximately 80 nucleotides in length. Their secondary structure includes four short double-helical elements and three loops (D, anti-codon, and T loops). Lineage: Eukaryota; Metazoa; Nematoda; Chromadorea; Rhabditida; Metastrongylidae. The record is from Rfam by way of RNAcentral.